RNAcentral lists this long non-coding RNA (1344 nucleotides) under Sus scrofa (pig). RNAcentral's name for it is "lncRNA (ENSSSCG00050005824.1)". Lineage: Eukaryota; Metazoa; Chordata; Mammalia; Artiodactyla; Suidae. The record is from RNAcentral.
AGCAGCGGACACACGGAUCGCGAGCAGCCGGGAGCUUGGGUCCCGCAGAAUGCUCGUGCCAAACGCUUCUCUCGACUAGUUACCAAAUGAGAAAAGGAACAGAGACGCACAACGAGAACGGCGAUUAAAAUCCAGUUUUUAGGCACCCGUGGUGUCCCAGCUGGUUCAGACUCUUCUUAUUCGCUGUCACCCAGCUCUUUCUCCUGGCAAAGGGUUACCCAGGAACCAGAGAGCCCCGCCAGCAGCUCCUUCUCUUCUGCUCUGCCUGAUCGCUCCAAUCUCCGCUGCCUCUGACACACUGCGCGCCCGGCUAUCCACUCACUGAACGCCGAGGAGGCCUGGCUGAGAUAGCUCCGGGAGGGAGGAGAACGCAUUAAACAGAUAGAUUUUUUGGGUAAGGGAGGAAAAACUUUGAUGUUGGAACCCCACACACAGGACUGAGAAAAACCAAAACAAGUUGCAGGUGCGGCAGUGGGGAGGUCGCUUUCACCAGCUCUGAGAUCAAUCACUCUCCCACCAAAUCCUGAGAGAGGAAGCUUCCUGCUCCUUGAGCUAUCCCCGAGCGCACCUCUUAAUCUCUCUGGUCUUCGAGUCCACCGGAAAAGCACAGGGCAUGAAAAGCCCAGUUGGUUCUCUCCUAGGGUGCAAACUGCCAAAUGCUCCUCCCGCUGGAGAGGUUGGCGGGGACUCAGUGCAAAAGGGACAGAGAUAAACGCAGAUCCAGGAAGAGCGAGGGGAAACGGAGCUGAGGCUGCAAGAACUGAGAAGCGAUUCCCUUCGGGCAAAGUGACUGCUACCAAGUCUGUUCCUUCCUGCGCAGGGACAGACACAUUUAAGGGCCUGAAGGACCGUUCGCCUGGACACUGAGUCUACAGGGUUCCUUCUAGAGCUUCGGUUUUCUUCCUCAGACAUUGGCCCUGAGCUGGGAAGAUCUGACCAAACUUUACAAGAGACAUUGCUGUAAAUGCGUUGGAAACUUUGGAAGCUGGCAACAGCGACAGCAUUUUUGCUCUUUGCCGUGAAUAUAUCCAGAAAGAUAGAAGCUAGUGUUGUGGAGGGGAGCAGAACAUCGAAGGGCUUUAGAAAAGCAGGAGUAAUUAAUAUACACCAACCAGUUUUUUUUCUAAAAAUAAACAGGUUUCCCGUAAAACUUCCUUAGAAGUCAGGUUAAUUUAUGCUGACGCCUACACCCUCUAUGCCCAUUUGGUUCAAUGUCUUCCAAGUUUACUGCUUCCCCUCAAAGCUUUUGCUGGGGGAAGGGGGAAGGGGGCUUCAUCACAAAAACAGAGAAUGCCUGUGCCCACCAGUUUCCUGGAACCGGGAUAGUCCCUACUCACGCCCCAU